CCCUUAGACGUUCUGGGCCGCACGCGCGCUACACUGACCAGUGCAACAAGCAUCCGUCCUUGGCCGACAGGCCCGGGCAAUCUUUGAACAUCGAUCGUGAUCGGGAUAGAUUCUUGUAAUUUUUGAUCUUAAACGAGGAAUUCCUAGUAAACGCAAGUCAUCAGCUUGCAUUGAUUACGUCCCUGCCCUUUGUACACACCGCCCGUCGCACCUACCGAUUGAAUGGUCCGGUGAAAUCUCCGGACUGGCGUGAGUCGGAGCAAUCUGACAAACGCCGGAAAGUUGAUUAAACCUUACCAUUUAGAGGAAGGUGAAGUCGUAACA
Molecule: ribosomal RNA, 324 nt
Filed under: uncultured eukaryote
Lineage: Eukaryota
Description: partial 18S ribosomal RNA
Rfam family: Eukaryotic small subunit ribosomal RNA
Source: RNAcentral